Molecule: long non-coding RNA, 925 nt
Organism: Callorhinus ursinus (northern fur seal)
Lineage: Eukaryota; Metazoa; Chordata; Mammalia; Carnivora; Otariidae
Source: RefSeq, a predicted model, not a curated record
UAUCUGGAAAGGGAAUGAAGGUAAAAUGAGGCCAUUAGGGUGGGCUUUAAUCUAAUCUGACCGGUGUCCUUACAGAAAGAGAUUAGAACACAGACAUGGACAGAGAGAAGGCCCCAUGAAGGCACAAGUUGAAGGCGGCCAUCUACAAACCAAGGAGAGAAGCCUUCGAAGAAACCAACCCCACAGACACUUGAUCUCAGAUCCUCAGAAGUGUGAGAAAAGCAGCAGGUUUAUAUGCAAUGACACCCGGGUCUGGUGUGGGGAGGAUUGGAGGUCACCAGCAUCACAGGUCACGUGACGAGAGCAAGCCCUCUGAUUCCACCAAACCCACUGGAUUAACAAAAACCUGAAAGCAAAAUAACACAAAAUGAUAUCCCCGCAUGAGCUACUAUUAGACUUUGCAACCUACAAUUACACCAGUUCAAUCUAAAUGCCCCCAAACAUAAUUUCAUUAAUGCAAGCCGUGUCAGAACUGGUAAAUAUUUUCUCUUCUUGGAUUUUCUGUUAUUAUUAGUUUUCAGCCGAGAAUGAUGAAGCAGGCACAGGCCACCUGAACAAGGUAGGGGGGAGCCCACCACCCAGUCGAGAUGACAGGCAAGGGAGGGGCUGUCAGAGGAAUGAAGUGGACAACUGGAAAAGUCGAUUUGGAGAGGAAAAAAAAGAAAAAACGAGAAGGAGCAGAGAAGAGAGAAGGGGUUCAAGGAGGAAUUCCGCAGGCAAGUAUGUUGAGCUGUGCCGGGGGGCGCACGCCUGUGGCUGGUACCCCCUAGGGAACUGACAAGCGGGGUCCCCACAAAGCGGAGCGCCGUCUGCGGGUGCAGGAUCUGGACCUCAGAGCUGCUUGAAAGAGCAGCGUGCAAGACAUCCGACUCAAACCCUUUAAAGAGAUUUCCUCCUGUGACAGAAUCCUUGGGCCGAUACCGAU